Molecule: long non-coding RNA, 720 nt
Organism: Bactrocera oleae (olive fruit fly)
Lineage: Eukaryota; Metazoa; Arthropoda; Insecta; Diptera; Tephritidae
Source: RefSeq, a predicted model, not a curated record
AACGCAUUAGUCGACAUAUAGAUGGCGCCACUCUCGGCAUCUCACUACUGGGGUGGGAAGCGCGGCCCAGUACUCUCACACGGGUUGUCAAAAGCCGCAUGCGUGCGACCACGAGCUCCCACCUCCUAAUCCAGGGUGCUAUGCGACCCCCUUGACCAUUGGAUGAUUUGCCCUAACGGAGCCUUGCCGACACUACAGGUUCAGCUCGGUAGUCCAGAGGCCAUAUAAACCUAAGACGACCACCGGAAGUGGAGCAGUGGAAAAAUGCUGGUGAAUGAGGAUGCUUCUUACUCCGGCGCAAGUACAUCAAAGCUGCAACUGCUGAGACUACGCAGAAGGCAGAUACGGUUCACAUCGGAAUACCUGGGCAUACUGCUGAUCCAGGAACCAUGGGUCUACAAGGCAAAGUCAGAGGCCUCAAAACGGAGACAAUCAAGAGUUCCUAACACAGGACCAGGUCACUAUGCAAGCAAAGGAUAACGAAGGAACGGACUAGCAGCGACGGGUAUACGCAACAAAACAUAAAACACUGGCAUUUCAUCUUUUCUGUCAUCAUGCGACCGAAACUGUAUGGCAUGAAAUAUAUUCAAUCAAUUGCUAAACAUUUGCAAUGUGCAGUCUCGAAGAAAUGCGAAUUCCUUUGAUGUCGCUCAGUUCUUUCAUACGAGCGACACGAGUCCAGCAACUCGAAUCGAGUUUUUCUGUCAUUCCGUUUCACAA